GACGAACGCUGGCGGCGUGCUUAACACAUGCAAGUCGAACGGAAAGGCCCCUUUGGGGGUACUCGAGUGGCGAACGGGUGAGUAACACGUGAGUAACCUGCCCUUGACUUCGGGAUAACUUCAGGAAACUGGGGCUAAUACCGGAUAGGAAUCCUUGCUGCAUGGUGGGGGUUGGAAAGCUUCGGCGGUUUUGGAUGGACUCGCGGCUUAUCAGCUUGUUGGUGGGGUAGUGGCUUACCAAGGCUUUGACGGGUAGCCGGCCUGAGAGGGCGACCGGCCACAUUGGGACUGAGAUACGGCCCAGACUCCUACGGGAGGCAGAAGUGGGGAAGAUUGCACAAUGGGCGGAAGCCUGAUGCAGCAACGCCGCGUGCGGGAUGACGGCCUUCGGGUUGUAAACCGCUUUCAGCAGGGGCGAAGCUUGUGGUGACGGUACCUGCAGAAGAAGCACCGGCUAACUACGUG
RNAcentral lists this ribosomal RNA (465 nucleotides) under uncultured bacterium. Its description in RNAcentral is "partial 16S ribosomal RNA". It matches the Rfam family "Bacterial small subunit ribosomal RNA", at positions 28 to 507 of the family's 1533-position model. The record is from RNAcentral.